RNAcentral lists this ribosomal RNA (253 nucleotides) under uncultured bacterium. Its description in RNAcentral is "partial 16S ribosomal RNA". It matches the Rfam family "Bacterial small subunit ribosomal RNA", at positions 524 to 776 of the family's 1533-position model. The record is from RNAcentral.
UACGUAGGGUGCGAGCGUUAAUCGGAAUUACUGGGCGUAAAGCGUGCGCAGGCGGUUUUGUAAGCCAGAUGUGAAAGCCCCGGGCUUAACCUGGGAAUGGCAUUUGGGACUGCAAGGCUGGAGUGUGGCAGAGGAGACUGGAAUUCCUGGUGUAGCAGUGAAAUGCGUAGAGAUCAUGAGGAAGACCAGUGGCGAAGGCGGGUCUCUGGACAGUUCCUGACACUGAGACACGAAGGCCAGGGGAGCAAACGGG